RNAcentral lists this ribosomal RNA (465 nucleotides) under uncultured bacterium. RNAcentral describes it as "partial 16S ribosomal RNA". It matches the Rfam family "Bacterial small subunit ribosomal RNA", at positions 28 to 507 of the family's 1533-position model. The record is from RNAcentral.
GACGAACGCUGGCGGCGUGCUUAACACAUGCAAGUCGAACGGAAAGGCCCCUUUGGGGGUACUCGAGUGGCGAACGGGUGAGUAACACGUGAGUAACCUGCCCUUGACUUCGGGAUAACUUCAGGAAACUGGGGCUAAUACCGGAUAGGAAUCCUUGCUGCAUGGUGGGGGUUGGAAAGCUUCGGCGGUUUUGGAUGGACUCGCGGCUUAUCAGCUUGUUGGUGGGGUAGUGGCUUACCAAGGCUUUGACGGGUAGCCGGCCUGAGAGGGGGACCGGCCAAAUUGGGACUGAGAUAAGGCCCAGACUCCUACGGGAGGCAGCAGGGGGGAAUAUUGAAAAAUGGGCGGAAGCCUGAUGCAGCAAAGCCGCGUGCGGGAUGACGGCCUUCGGGUUGUAAACCGCUUUCAGCAGGGGCGAAGCUUGUGGUGACGGUACCUGCAGAAGAAGCACCGGCUAACUACGUG